This 458-nucleotide ribosomal RNA is filed under the name uncultured bacterium. RNAcentral describes it as "partial 16S ribosomal RNA". It matches the Rfam family "Bacterial small subunit ribosomal RNA", at positions 339 to 795 of the family's 1533-position model. The record is from RNAcentral.
CCUCGGGUGGCUGCAGUGAGGAAUAUUGGUCAAUGGUCGGGAGACUGAACCAGCCAAGCCGCGUGAGGGAUGAAGGUACAGAGUAUCGUAAACCUCUUUUGUCAGGGAACAAAGGCGGGGACGUGUCCCCGGACGAGCGUACCUGAAGAAAAAGCAUCGGCUAACUCCGUGCAAGAAGCCGCGGUAAUAGGGAGGAUGCGAGGGUGAUCCGGAUUUAUUGGGUUUAAAGGGUGCGCAGGGGGACUGAUAAGUCAGAGGUCAAAGCCGGGGGGUAAUCCCCGGCCCGCCGUUGAAACUGGCCGUCUCGAGUGGGAGAGGGGUGUGCGGAAUGCGCGGUGUAGCGGUGAAAUGCGUAGAUAUCGCGCGGAACUCCGAUUGCGAAGGCAGCAUGCCGGCUCCACACUGACGCUGAGGCACGAAAGCGUGGGUAUCGAACAGGAUUAGAUACCCGAGUAGUC